Oryzias javanicus (javanese ricefish) is the source of this 1613-nucleotide long non-coding RNA. NCBI's taxonomy places the organism in Eukaryota, Metazoa, Chordata, Actinopteri, Beloniformes, Adrianichthyidae. The record is from Ensembl.
GGCGCGCGGACACAGUCAGUGCUGACAUGGUGCUCUGUAGGUUUUUUUUUUGUCUUUACUUCUUUCUGUUUUGUCGCGCAAAGUAAUAAGUUGCAGAGAUAUAUAUUUUUAAACGCGUUUAUAGACCGGAAACACGUCAAAAAAGUUUCCAAAUCUACAAAUCUGGAGCGGUGAAAGGCUUUGAGUUUUUAAACCAGCUGUCAAGAGAAAAGUCAAACUUUGCAAGAAGAACCAAACAGAUAAACCAAAACUGCUUGCAACGCUUAGGACUCAAAGUAAAGGGGAUGCAAAACAAUCCAGGAACUGUGAAUAAGGAAGAAGACAUCCAGCAGUGACCUUCCUCAGUGUCCACUCCCGACAUUCCUGUGAUUAUUCCCGUGAUUUCCUUGAACAUGUGUCAGAGAGGGAGAUCGACACACGAGCAAAGAUGAACCCUUACGUCACGUCUCACUUCAGGAGGGAUCUUUUCCCCCACUUUCAUUUGUUGUAGACUUUUCUCCUCUCCCAAUAUUUAAGGUUGUAUUUCUUUUCUGCAUUUACUUGUAAUUUUACCUGCUAAUUUAUUUUGUUGCAUUUUUUGCGCUUAAAUGUGCAAGUUUUUCUCUUGCAGUUCCUAAAUUAUUUGAUUUUGCUCACUAUUCCUCAACACUACUGACGUAGCGAGACAUGGUAAAUAUGAGCAUAUGUUUUCUUUUAAUCAACCGUAAGGUUAUACUCUUUGGAAAACCAAAAAGUUAGCAGCUCAUGUUAAUUCUUAUUAUUAAGUCUGUUAUUUAUCCUUUAUUUUUAUUAUCUUUGUUUUUAAGUGUGCUGAAGUCGUACUUUUGUGCUUUGGUUAAACCAGGUUGCUGAUUGACAGCCUCAAACCCAUCAAGGUAGCUGCAUGUUUUGUCAGCUUUUAUUUCACCACCGUCCGCUUUUAUGCAAAAUGCUGAAUUUUUUUUCAACAGUUGAUCCUAUGUUCUGCAUUUUCUUCCAAAAGCUGCUGACUUAAAUCUCGAAUCACUGUUCCCCUGCGAGGUAGAUAAUGUUUUGCCGUGGUUGUCCUCCUGUCCUCCUUCGUCUGCUUUAGGAGGUCUCUGCUGUAACAGGGGCUCUGACAGGCGCGCUGGCACAGGUACCUGAGUGGAAUUAAGUAAUAUGAAGUAAUAUUAGUUUCUUGAGGCCAGUCAGUUUACACCAUGGCCAUCAGACUGCUGUGCAGACACUUGGAGAGAAAAUGUACAAUUGUUAAAGCUGUAACAUGAUGGAACUGUCUGGCAGAAUUAUGGUUAUUUGAGUCACUUUCUAGACUUUCAAACGUAGCUGUAAAAAUAAUAAUUAUAUGUGUAUUAUACAUUAGUUACAUUUGUAAUUUUUAUUUUUUCAUGCACAACUGAGAAGAACUUCAUCGUAAGAGUUUGCACGUUUUUUUGUCGUUUUUGCAUGCUAAAAAUGAUUUGAACUGAUUGUACUUUUGGUUUAGUCAAUAAUGCAAGUUAUUAUUUUUCUUUUUUUAAAUGUAAGAAGAGACUAGAGCUGGACUUCCUUGGACUGUUAUUUUCCUGAUCUUCUGGCUAUUGAUAGGUCACAAGACUUCCCUUGAAUUCCUUUUGGAACUGAACAACCCUGCA